GAACUGCGAUAAGUAAUGUGAAUUGCAGAAUUCAGUGAAUCAUCGAGUCUUUGAACGCACAUUGCGCCCCCUGGCAUUCCGGGGGGCAUGCCUGUCCGAGCGUCAUUGCUGCCCUUCAAGCCCGGCUUGUGUGUUGGGUCGUCGUCCCCUCCGGGGGACGGGCCCGAAAGGCAGCGGCGGCACCGCGUCCGGUCCUCGAGCGUAUGGGGCUUUGUCACCCGCUCGAUAAGGACCGGCCGGGCGCCAGCCGGCGUCUACAACCUUUUUUUCUCAGGUUGACCUCGGAUCAGGUAGGGAUACCCGCUGAACUUAAGC
This 315-nucleotide unclassified non-coding RNA is filed under the name plant metagenome. Its description in RNAcentral is "partial contains 5.8S ribosomal RNA, internal transcribed spacer 2, and large subunit ribosomal RNA". The stretch from base 1 to 105 matches the Rfam family "5.8S ribosomal RNA", at positions 50 to 154 of the family's 154-position model. The record is from RNAcentral.